This 538-nucleotide long non-coding RNA is filed under the name Pan troglodytes (chimpanzee). RNAcentral's name for it is "lncRNA (ENSPTRG00000054660.1)". Lineage: Eukaryota; Metazoa; Chordata; Mammalia; Primates; Hominidae. The record is from RNAcentral.
AUGACGGACUGCACAGUGUAUCUGAGAGAGGAUUUUCAGGAGGCCAGAAAAUCAAGCUGGAGGGAUUCUCAGCGUGUUGGGCGAUUGCUACCUGUUUUGAGUCAGACCAUUGCCACGUCCUUUUCCCCACCUUGGAGACUUCAGGCCUUCAGACAACACUCCCGCACUGGGUUUAUGAGAGUAACCCCCACCUUCCCAGGAAGUUGGAAGCAUUGCCCCAGCCUUUCCAGAAGCUCUGCCUGCCGUUAGCUUGGAUCAUGAAAAUUGGCUCGGCCAGGAGAAUACAUUAUAAGGCCCCAAACCGCGCCAAAUCUUAAGGCCUCAGAGCAUAAAGAUAAACUGAUUUACAAUUAUUUUCAUUAAAAUGUCAUUUUAGGUAUAUGAAUGAACAAGACCCUGGUAAAUAUUUACUAUCUAUUCUGCACUAUAAAAAGUAGGGAAAGAAAGACUCACCUACUUUCAAGUUGUAUUCAGUAUCUGGGAAGAUAAUUUUAAAAGGAAAUCUUUAAAAGACCUUAUCUAUAGAGGGAUGUUUUGG